AUUGAACGCUGGCGGCAUGCCUUACACAUGCAAGUCGAACGGCAGCACGGGAGCAAUCCUGGUGGCGAGUGGCGAACGGGUGAGUAAAGUAUCGGAACGUGCCCAGUCGUGGGGGAUAACGUAGCGAAAGUUACGCUAAUACCGCAUACGAUCUAUGGAUGAAAGCGGGGGAUCGCAAGACCUCGCGCGAUUGGAGCGGCCGAUAUCAGAUUAGGUAGUUGGUGGGGUAAAGGCUCACCAAGCCGACGAGCUGUAGCUGGUCUGAGAGGACGGCAAGCCACACUGGGAGUGAGACACGGCCCAGACUCCUACGGGAGGCAGCAGUGGGGAAUUUUGGACAAUGGGCGAAAGCCUGAUCCAGCCAUGCCGCGCGCAGGAUGAAGGCCUUCGGGUUGUAAACUGCUUUUGUACGGAACGAAAAGGUUUGGCCUAAUAAGCUGAGCUCAUGACGGUACCGUAAGAAUAAGCACCGGCUAACUACGUGCCAGCCGCCGCCGUAA
This 500-nucleotide ribosomal RNA is filed under the name uncultured bacterium. RNAcentral's name for it is "partial 16S ribosomal RNA". It matches the Rfam family "Bacterial small subunit ribosomal RNA", at positions 29 to 523 of the family's 1533-position model. The record is from RNAcentral.